GAGAAGGGUUUGGGUGUGGAAGUAGAGAGGAGUGAAGAUGGAUCAUUUAGCAGGGAUGGCAUUGCCAAGGCUUUGAGACUAGCAAUGGUGUCGGAGGAAGGGAAAGAAAUGAGGGCACGUGCAAGUGAAGCUGCAGAGAUUUUUGGAAAUCACAAGUUGCAUCAGGAAUAUUAUAUUGGUAAAUUUGUGGAGUUCCUGAGAGG
This 203-nucleotide unclassified non-coding RNA is filed under the name Hevea brasiliensis (rubber tree). The record is from RNAcentral. Lineage: Eukaryota; Viridiplantae; Streptophyta; Magnoliopsida; Malpighiales; Euphorbiaceae.